AUACGAAGGGUGCAAGCGUUACUCGGAAUUACUGGGCGUAAAGCGUGCGUAGGUGGUUGUUUAAGUCUGUCGUGAAAGCCCUGGGCUCAACCUGGGAAUGGCGAUGGAAACUGGGCGACUAGAGUGUGGCAGAGGGUAGUGGAAUUCCUGGUGUAGCCGUGAAAUGCGUAGAGAUCAGGAGGAACAUCCGUGGCGAAGGCGACUGCCUGGGCCAACACUGACACUGAGGCACGAAAGCGUGGGGAGCAAACAGGAUUAGAUACCCUGGUAGUCCACGCCCUAAACGAUGCGAACUGGAUGUUGGGUGCAAUUUGGCACGCAGUAUCGAAGCUAACGCGUUAUGUUCGCCGCCUGGGGAGUACGGUCGCAAGACUGAAACUCAAAUGAAUUGACGGGG
RNAcentral lists this ribosomal RNA (397 nucleotides) under uncultured bacterium. Its description in RNAcentral is "partial 16S ribosomal RNA". It matches the Rfam family "Bacterial small subunit ribosomal RNA", at positions 523 to 918 of the family's 1533-position model. The record is from RNAcentral.